Molecule: ribosomal RNA, 625 nt
Filed under: uncultured bacterium
Lineage: Bacteria
Description: bacterial SSU rRNA
Rfam family: Bacterial small subunit ribosomal RNA (bases 1-544)
Source: RNAcentral
CCUACGGGAGGCAGCAGUGGGGAAUAUUGGACAAUGGGGGCAACCCUGAUCCAGCAAUGCCGCGUGUGUGAAGAAGGCCUGAGGGUUGUAAAGCACUUUCGUUGGGGAGGAAAGGCUCGGUGCUAAUAUCACCGAGAGAUGACGCUACCCAAAUAAGAAGCACCGGCUAACUCUGUGCCAGCAGCCGCGGUAAUACAGAGGGUGCGAGCGUUAAUCGGAAUUACUGGGCGUAAAGCGUGCGUAGGUUGGUAGAUGUGUUGACUGUGAAAUCCCCGAGCUCAACUUGGGGCGGUCAGUCAAAACUGUCUAUCUAGAGUAUGGUAGAGGAAAGUGGAAUUUCAGGUGUAGCGGUGAAAUGCGUAGAUAUCUGAAGGAACACCGAGUGGCGAAGGCGACUUUCUGGACUAAUACUGACACUGAGGCACGAAAGCGUGGGGAGCAAACAGGAUUAGAUACCCUGGUAGUCCACGCCGUAAACGAUGAGAACUAGCUGUUGGGGGCCUUGGCUCUUAAGUGGCGCNGCACGACGUUAGUUACGUCCGCCGUGGGAGGUACGGCCGCGACGUAAACGUACGAAGAAGUAGACGCGNGAGACGUAGACGACGGACGACGACGAGGGAGGAGG